GAUGAACGCUAGCGGCAGGCCUAAUACAUGCAAGUCGGACGGGAUCCAUUGAUAGCUUGCUAUCAAUGGUGAGAGUGGCGCACGGGUGCGUAACGCGUGAGCAACCUGCCUCCAUCAGGGGGAUAACCUCUCGAAAGAGAGAUUAACACCGCAUAAUAUCAACAGUUCGCAUGUUCAGUUGAUUAAAUAUUUAUAGGAUGGAGAUGGGCUCGCGUGACAUUAGCUAGUUGGUAGGGUAACGGCUUACCAAGGCGACGAUGUCUAGGGGCUCUGAGAGGAGAAUCCCCCACACUGGUACUGAGACACGGACCAGACUCCUACGGGAGGCAGCAGUAAGGAAUAUUGGUCAAUGGGCGGAAGCCUGAACCAGCCAUGCCGCGUGCAGGAUGACUGCCCUAUGGGUUGUAAACUGCUUUUGUCCAGGAAUAAACCUAAAUACGAGUAUUUAGCUGAAUGUACUGGAAGAAUAAGGAUCGGCUAACUCCGUG
RNAcentral lists this ribosomal RNA (488 nucleotides) under uncultured bacterium. RNAcentral's name for it is "partial 16S ribosomal RNA". It matches the Rfam family "Bacterial small subunit ribosomal RNA", at positions 28 to 507 of the family's 1533-position model. The record is from RNAcentral.